This 349-nucleotide ribosomal RNA is filed under the name uncultured bacterium. RNAcentral's name for it is "bacterial SSU rRNA". It matches the Rfam family "Bacterial small subunit ribosomal RNA", at positions 29 to 369 of the family's 1533-position model. The record is from RNAcentral.
AAUGAACGCUGGCGGCGCGCCUAAUACAUGCAAGUCGAGCGAGAAGACGUAGCAAUACGUUUGUAAAGCGGCGAACGGGUGAGGAAUACAUGGGUAACCUACCCUCGAGUGGGGAAUAACUAGCCGAAAGGUUAGCUAAUACCGCGUACGCUCCUUGGACUUCGGUUCAGGGAGGAAAGCGAUACCGUGGGUAUCGCGCUCUUGGUUGGGCUCAUGUCCUAUCAGCUUGUUGGUGAGGAACGGCUCACCAAGGCUUCGACGGGUAGCUGGUCUGAGAGGACGAUCAGCCACACUGGCACUGCGACACGGGCCAGACUCCUACGGGAGGCAGCAGUAAGGAAUAUUGCGC